This 650-nucleotide ribosomal RNA is filed under the name uncultured Acidithiobacillus sp. RNAcentral's name for it is "bacterial SSU rRNA". It matches the Rfam family "Bacterial small subunit ribosomal RNA", at positions 9 to 656 of the family's 1533-position model. Lineage: Bacteria; Pseudomonadati; Pseudomonadota; Acidithiobacillia; Acidithiobacillales; Acidithiobacillaceae. The record is from RNAcentral.
GAGUUUGAUCAUGGCUCAGAUUGAACGCUGGCGGCAUGCCUAACACAUGCAAGUCGAACGGUAACAGGUCUUCGGAUGCUGACGAGUGGCGGACGGGUGAGUAAUGCGUAGGAAUCUGUCCUUUAGUGGGGGACAACCCAGGGGAACUUGGGCUAAUACCGCAUGAGCCCUGAGGGGGAAAGCGGGGGAUCUUCGGACCCCGCGCUAAGAGAGGAGCCUACGUCCGAUUAGCUAGUUGGCGGGGUAAAGGCCCACCAGGGCGACGAUCGGUAGCUGGUCUGAGAGGACGACCAGCCACACUGGGACUGAGACACGGCCCAGACUCCUACGGGAGGCAGCAGUGGGGAAUUUUUCGCAAUGGGGGCAACCCUGACGAAGCAAUGCCGCGUGGAUGAAGAAGGCCUUCGGGUUGUAAAGUCCUUUCGUGGAGGACGAAAAGGUGGGUUCUAAUGCAAUCUGCUAUUGACGUGAAUCCAAGAAGAAGCACCGGCUAACUCCGUGCCAGCAGCCGCGGUAAUACGGGGGGUGCGAGCGUUAAUCGGAAUCACUGGGCGUAAAGGGUGCGUAGGCGGUACGUUAGGUCUGUCGUGAAAUCCCCGGGCUCAACCUGGGAAUGGCGGUAGAAACCGGCGCACUAGAGUAUGGGAGAG